CCAAACUUGAGACACGGAGGCGAGGAGGACCACGUCGGCAACCACCACAGAGAAUCAGCCUCAGCCUGUGCCGCCAAACACCCUUCGAGCUCCACCACGACCCGAGCAGCCAGAAAACGCGACCACCAUGAACCGGCAAAAACAGAUCAAGAAAAUCUGCAGCGGAGCACCACUGAGAAUCCCGAUCUGAGAACACAAACCCGCCGUUAAGGAGAAGAGCAAACCUAACCAGCCACCUCAACAAAGCCAAAACCCUUGCCGGAGAAGAGGACUGUUGCGUGAAAGAGAUCCGACCAAAAGGAGCUGUCGGAAACAAGCCGGUUACAAAGCCGUCCCCAAGCAAAGAACCUAGACGAAUCCGACCAGCAAGCCGAGAGCCUCCAAGCGACACGCAACAGCUUCUAUCCGACAACCACCACCAGGAGACGCCGGAAAAGGCGGAGAAUCGCAUCCAAAAUCAGCCAAACCCGACGGAAAGCAGAGACGAAGGAGGGAGAAAAGGAAUCUGUGAGCUUUCAAUUACGAAAUAGAUAUUGUGACCAUUUGCUCUCCAAAACCCAGAAACCGACUUAGAGAAAAUCCUCAAUUAAAAAGAUGAUGACGGAACCGAUCGUCGAUGAAGCAGGCGAAGCCAAAUCCUAAAGGAAUCGAAGCAUAACAUAUUCACAUCACAAGUCCAAAAAAUCUUCACCAAGUUAUCAUCUCCUGCCACACGAUGGGAGUGUCUCUUAAACCUUUAAAGUUUUCAUAUACUCUCAAUACAGUGCUAUAUGUUUAUUUAGGGUGCUUCUGUGAAUGCAGCAAAAUCUCUAUAGAGAUUUUUCUUUUACUUGGACUAAUGGCCUUCUGUGUGACUAGUUGAUAGGGCUGAAUAUAAGAUGCAUUGACUGGUUGUACUAAAAAUUUUGAUGUUUGGCUUUUCCAAUUACUAACCGAAAUUUCAAUUUUGACUUUUUUUAGGAGUUGCAAACAUUAUGGGAGAAAGAGGAGUCCAAGAAAAUUUCCUCCGUUUUUCAUUUUGAUGGUCCUCAGGUUCUCUGUUGACUUGAUGUUGUUGGAGGAUACUCUUGUUACAUGAACUCUCUCUUGUAUGCUCAUGUGAUCCGCAGCUGAGGAGGAUAAGUCAUCUAACUUUCUGAGCCUAAUCUUGAGUAUUGAAUACCCGUAUUGAAACUAAGGCAUAGUGAUCCGUUGCUCGUUUCCAUUCAUCAUAUGAUAUGACGCCUCAUUGGUUCAUGCCCAUAUAUAGACGCUGGAGAUCACUCCGAAUAGAAUGUAGUUUUUUUUACGAAGAGAAGCUGCAUCGCAUGGAAGGAACAUUUACUCUUUGAAGAUAUCCUCUGUCAAAUAUUCGACAUGAUUAAACCAGUGGCAAGAGUUCAAUCAUAACAUGACGGAGAACUGCAUAUCAUUCCAGGAUCUGAAAGCAUCUAAACUUUCUGGAUAUGUUCUCAAUAUACUCUUCAACCUGAACAAAUUCAUGGCGUCUCAAACUCAUGACCCUUUUUGCAUACACCAGGUAAGUCUAGCUUUUCUAUAGAGUUUCCCUCCCUUUGGUUAUUCAAUACUUGGUUUAAUAGCUGUUGAAACUUAUUACUACUGUAUAUUUAUUUGGUUGCAACAUGAGCUGAAAUUCAUUUGACCAGGAAGAAGUACUUACAUGGGUGGUCACUUGGUUAACGCAUUCAAAUAAGUUCCUUUUGAACCCUUUUUCUGAAUUAGUUUGUGUUCCUUUCACCUUUAUCACAUCUCUGCAAUUGUUCAUUAUUGUUUCUUUUUAACAGGUUUUCUAAAUACCUGAUUGAUCAAUAUAUACUUCUUUAUAAUGUGUGCCUUGGAGUUGCCCGAAUUAAUAUCCUUUUGUAAUGUUUCAUUUUCUGAGUAUACCUGAUUGAUCAAUACUUCUUAAUUGGCUUUUAUUUUCUCAUUUUCUCACAACCAUUUUUAGUCGGGUGUGUAAGUGGUUUCGCCACUUCUUUCUUAAGGAUUAUGUCAAUGAUUUUGUUAGCAGGCUCUGUUUUUUUUUUCUCCAAGUUUAGGAGGAUCAAGAAACAGCAGUUCGUCUAGCGAACACAAUGAAAAAUUCGUUGAAGGGAAGACCAGUGCCGAUACCUUUUUUGUUAUUGUAAGUAAUAGCCACUAGCACUGAAAGAUUGUUGAAUAACUUGAUCUUCUUGCAGGCUCCUAUAUUUGAGGGUAAAGAACCUCCACAAUUUGUUGCACUUUCCAACCUAUGGUUGUCCUUAAGGGUGGUUUGAGUUCUGGUUACAAAAGUACUGUAGAAUGACAAAGAAGGGUUCAUCAGACGGAAUCAGUUGCACUUAUUCAAUAUCUGGAACUGGAGUUCACAAUAAUAAGGCACUACAAGUUGAAGCGCUCAUGAUUACUGUCAAGCACGCAAAAGAGGGAACAUAGAGCUCAUCCUUUUGGUUUGCACUUGGGGGAAAACAGAACUUCACCAACAAGAAGGUUUCCUCCAAGACUGUCAGGGAUUCUCACUUGUUCUCCUUUUCCUCCAACAGCGGUAAUUGAAAUUAGGCAAUCAAUUAUGAGAGUCAAAGCAUCUCUCUUAGGGUCAUAUUUUCUUUUGAUAAACUUGCAUAUUAUAACUUUGUGUUCUUCUUUUCAAUGUGUAUACAUGGAUCCUAGAGAAAAUCUCAGGUGAGAAUUUAGGAAAAAUAUAUAUCCAACGUUUUCUUAUCAGUUAUCAAGAUGUGUGCAUGCUUUAACAUUAUCCUUCAUGAUGUGACUUGGAGGGUAGCAAGCUGGCCCUAUAAAUAUCUUGUUUAUGUUGAUUACGCAUUUUUGUUAUUAUACACUGUCAUGGAUGGAGGAGAUUGAAGUUUUUGGUUUCUAAUUGGAAGCCACUUGCCUCUUCAAUUAAUAGUUUUUUAUUCAUGGUUUCUGGUAUCAUAAUUUAUUUCUUAUGUUACUGAGAGUAUUUUCUGUUUGUUUUAGAUCGUAGAGGAGUCAAGAGGGUUUCCCAUUCAUUUCACUUUUUCUUAAGCAACACGUGAAGCUCUUUUGUUGGCAUUUACAUGAUUGCUCAUUUUAUCUUUGCGUAACUUCAAUUUUCUUUUAAGAGAGAAGCAUUGUGAGGAGAAGGAGUCAAAGAUAUUGCGUUUGACCAAUCAUAAUUCCUUAUGUGCGUUAUUUAUUUUCUAAUAUUUGGUUCUUGAUAGUUGAUUUCAUUAGGUAAGUUGGUUAAUUUUUCAUUUGUUUCUCAGUCUAUGUUUACCACUGUCUUUCUUGGGGUUAUAGUGCAUAGACAUGCUCGAAGUUGUUACAUUUUUUGGUGCCAUAGAACCAGAGUAGAGGUUUGUUUUGAUAGAGUUAUGUGCUUUUACGGGGAAGAAGAUGUGGAAGAUUACUGAGAGCAAGUCUGGAUUAGAAGAAGCUGAUGUCUUGAUUUGGAAAGUGGAUCUCGAGGCUAGAAGUUUGCAGCUGAGUGCUAAAGCUUUGUAUCUUUCUAAACUAAAAGAGUGUACAUCUAAUUGAACCAAUUGAAGAAGGAAUUGAAACGAUUUUUGUCCUCAGAUACUAAGCAGUCUCGUCUGUGGCGAAUUGAUGAAAUAUGGAAUUGCGGAUCUGCAUGUAUCUGCUGAUCAAAGAGGAAGAUUGGCAAUGUCAGUGAAGAGGCUUGACCAAUCAAGAAAUAGAGUCAGGGAGAGUAGAAGACCUGAGUCAGCAACGCCAAACACUUCAUGUGCACACAAAGAUACAGGGGAUAUCACGUUUUGGGCUCUUUCUUUUAAUGGUCCUCACCUAUAUUACUUACUUGAUUUAGGUUGUAGAGCUUCUCAAAACGAGAAACGCUUCUACUCAUUUUAAAUCGCAUAUGUGGAUUUCUUCGGUCGAUGCAGUGGUUUGUAUUGUUUGGUGGCUGCUUGAGCGUUGAUUGGAAUCUUGCGGCUAUUUAUGGUUUCAGGGUUUUUGUUCGUUUCCUAAUUUUGUAUACCUACUUUACUUUAUUUUUGGAUGUCAUUGGAUGAUCUCGUUAUUGACUGUUUUUUUCAAAAUAUUAUGACAGCAUUUGACAACCCCAUGUCAUCAAUCUCAUAUUGAGUCAGGUAUAUUUCAGGUGUAUCCAAUCUCAUUUUGAAAGCAUUUGUUCUCUUUCUAUUAAUGGUCCUUAGGUUUCGUCAGACCACCUUGGUCCCUUGAACAAAUUCAUAUACAUUCCUUAACCCUUUCAACGUGGAUAUGUCUAUCGAAGCGGUUUUUUUGGGUCAAACGUCUCAAACUUUGCUUUGUACCUUUUCUGGUUAUUUAUUGUCUGGCAUUCGUGUUCAUUGUUGUUUGUUCUACCGAUUAUAUAUAUGUAUAUGAUCAACACUUCUUCAGUUGUGCCUUGGAGGAUGGCAAGGUGGCCCAAUAAAUAUCCUUUUUACACCGGGAAGUCCUUAUGAUGCAUUUUUUGCUGCUUCUGCGAUAAUAUUGAUCAGUCUAAUGCUAAAUGCAGGAGACUGAAGAUUCUGGUUUCUAAUUGGUAGCCACGGGCCUCUUCAGUUGAUAGUUUUUAUUGGUGGUUUCUGUAUCAAGAUCGUAGAGCUUGUAGGAGAGUCAAGAUGGUUUGCGCUCUAUCUGGACAGCAAGGAUGCAUAGUGCUUGUAAUUCCGGUUUUCUGAUUACUUCUUAUCUAUAAACCUUUUUCUUCUAUCAGGUAUGAUUUGACUUUGUGUAUAUUUGCCAUUCAUUUCACUUUUUCUUAAGCGGUAUAUUCACAUUCACAGGAAAGUGGUAGAAAUUACAACAACUUAGACCACGUAUGUUUAUUUGAGUAAACAUGAUAACUAUCGCCGGUGGCAACCAAAAAUCCAUAAUGUUGAGUUAGGGAAGAAAUUGCUUUUAGGAUGCCAUAUCUAUAAAUCAUAUAUAAAUCAUCUAGAUCGGUAAGAACAGUCAAAUCUAGAAACCAAGAAGCAAAUAAAAGAGUUUUCUAAGCAAUAUUGUUCUAUAUUUUGAAAUGUUGGUUAAGGCUGUUUGAUUCAGCAAAAGCUCUUGCUUUCAAAAAUGUUCCGGCGCGUGAAGAGGUAAGCAUCUGUCAAUACUACUCUACCACAACUUUUUUAUUGUAAAUACACAUAACUUUCGAUGUCUUGGAGGAAAGCAAGCUGGCCCAGUAAAUAUCUUUUCAUAUUGUAAGUUUAUAAUUAUAUAAAACGUUUUUAUUUCCUUGUUUCGUUUUCCUUGUUGCCUCUAUUGGCUUUUCUAUUCUUACUUUAGAGAUUGUGCCUUUCCAAAGAUAUAAGGUUAUACCAAAGGUUCUCUUUAGUUUAAUUUUUUGUUGUGGCAAAGUUCUUAUUUUGUAACAUUGGCCUCUUUUUGAAUUGUGAUUUCCAUUAGAUUUGACUUGGCUAUUUAAUUUAUCUGUCGCUCUUUUCUAAAAGCUCUGUGUUCUUUCUUAAUUUUCAUUCUCUUGUUUCAGUUAAUAGCUAAAGAGAUAGGAUUGGUGGUUAACGUUGACUGUUUCAGAAAAGCAAGCAAAGUAAAACGAUCAAAGAGUGCACAAAGAAAUGAGGUCCAAUGUUUCGCUCUCCCUGUACUUUUUAUUUUUACGGUUAAUUGAUGCUACACUGACUUAGACGAUGGUUUAAGUUUGAAAUUACAGUAUCUAUUUACAAAUAUGCUGGCAUCAAUUUUUUCUGGCAGCAAGCUGGUAUUGGUACCUUAAUAUUGGUAUUGGUUCAACAACAUCCAACAGAUGAUCCUUUUGAAUGCGCUCUUUGCUUUAAUUGAGGCGAGAAAGUUCAAAUGGAACCCAAGGGGGUCCAAGACAAGAGGAUAAAGCUUUAUAUCUGCAUUCAAUUGUACACCAUCAUCAAAAUCACCUCCAUGAAGACCAGAAUAAACAAGUCAGGCGUCACAAAGAGCAGCAGCAGUGGCUGCCCUCUCGCAAUUCAAAGUCACCUCCAUGAAGACCAGAAGUAACAAGUUAGGCAUCACAAUGAGGAUACAGGGGAUAUCACGUUUUGGUCUCUCUUUUUUAAUGGUCCUCAGUGGUUUGUUGUGUUUGGUGGCUGCUUGAGCAGUGAUUGGACAUUGCACGUUAUCUUGUGGCUGUUUAUGGUUUCAGGGGUUUUACUUGUUUCCUAAUUUUGUAUUCAUACUUUACUUUGAUUUUUGGAUUUCAUUGGAUGAUCUGGUUAUUAACUAUACUAUUCUUAAAACAUUAUGACAGGAUUUGGCAACCCGUGGUAUCAAUCUCAUCUUGAGUGAGGUAUAUUUCAGGUGUGUACAAUUAACCCUUCUGCUGCGGGAUCAGUCUAGUAGUGGGAUGUGUUUCAUUCUCUCUUGAUUGAAAGAUUUUGCAUACUUUAUUCUCGCUGAGGAGGAUAAGUCAUCUGAGCCUAGUCUUAAAUAUUGGUUCAAGUGCAUAUAUAUACCUGGCUGGAGAAUGGAGAUUGGGUGGUGAUCACUCCCAAUGAACAUGUACUCUUUGAAGAUAUCCUAUGUCUAAUAUUCUACAUGAUUAAACCAGAGGCGAGAGUUCUUUCAAAUCAUAACAUGAAGGAGAACUGAAAGCAUCUAAACGUUUAAUGUACUCUUCAACCUGAGGAAAUUCGCCAGGUUUUCUAUGCCUGAUUGAUCAAUACUUCUGUAUGCUGUGUCAAUAUCCUUUUGAAAUGCUUCCUUCGAGCAUACCUGAUUGAUCAUUACUUCUUUAUUGGCUUUUCUUUUGUCAUUAAAAAAAAAACAAAAUAAGUGAGUUAUUAUCUUCAAGCUCUGUUAGAGGUUAGACCUGUAUGAUAAUUUUGGUUCCUAAUUGGUUGACUCUUGCGACAAUUUCCUUAUCUCUUUCUUUUGAUGGUCUUCCGGUUUCUGUUUUUAGACGUUAGAUUAAUUUUUACUUGAUUUAGAUUUUAGAUGGUUUCUCAGACUGAAAAACACUGUCAAGAAUGUACUUAUUUUUCUUUUUCUUCUGGUUACACCUUUUUCUUACAUAGUAGUUCAUUAUUUCAAUCAAAUAUAAUUUGUCCUCGUGUAUGGUUGUGUGCUUUUCAGAUUUUCUUCGUCACUCACAUCACUUUGAUUCUCUUGUUUCAGUUGAUGGCUGAAAAGAUAGGAUUGAUGGUUAAAGUUGACUGUUUCAGAAAAGCUGAAAGAGAAACAAACAAGUUGGUAUUGCUACAUCAAAACAGGCGUUUCAGCAACAGGUGAUUUCUUUGAAUACAUAUAGUUAUAGCCUUACUAGUUUUUCCUGUUUAUCUCAGAUGUUGAAUCACCUUGCCGGAUAUUGCUCUGCAUAUACGUCAUCUCUCUAAUGAAAUGGGAGAUCUAUCAAUGUGGGACAAAGUGACCUGCAAGGUUAACUAUGAGAGACGUAAACUAAUCGCUAAUAAUCAUACAUGCGCAUAUGUUGAAUAUUUCCCUGAAGUUGGUGGCUGAAGAGAUAGGAUUGGUGGUUAAAGUUGACUGUUUCAGAAAAGCUAAAAGAGAAGCAAAGUAAAGAUCAAAGAGUGCACAAAGAAAUGAGCAAGCUGGUGUUGGUACAUUAACAUUGCUCAAAACUGCAGUUCCGCAACAGCCAACAGAUGAUCCUUUUGAAUGUGCAAGGGAAUUCCUUCCAGAAGAAGGCAUCGUUAUCAAAACCUCUGACUUGCCAUCAAAUAAUAUAUAUGGCUGGAAACUGGUUGUGCUAACUGCUUUUCAUCUUAGGCACAAAACGAAUAGAAGAAAGCAAAACAGAGACUUGAAGGAUCAAGCAAAGAUGUGGAAGACCAUUAAACUACAGAGGCACAAUUAUUGCAACUUGACUUUGACACUAUAAGAUUAGCAACUAAUGACUUCUCUCCAAACAACCAUCUUGGUGCUUGGUGAAGGUGGAUCUGGUGCAGUUUAUAAGGGUAUUCUUGAUUCUGGGGAAGAGAGCUGUGAAAAGAUUGUCAAUGAAAUCAGGACAAGGAGACAAUGAGUUCGUAAACGAAGUCUCGUGGGUUGAGAAACUUCAACAUCAUAAUCUUGUGAGGCUUUUAGGUUUUUACUUAAGAGGGAGAAGAACGACUUCAUCAUCUAUGAGUUCUUCAGGAAUAUAAACCAUUUUUGGUCAGCUCAGUUUCGAGGAAGCAUAUUUGUUCUUUGAGUACCUUUCUUGUUUCAUGGUGAUUCUUUUCCAGGAUCUAUACUGCAUCUGUGGUUUUCAUGUUUAUGUUGAUUACUAAUUUUGUGUUACUUUACACUUCCUUGUGGACGCAGGAGACUGAAGUUUCUGGUUACUUCUGCGGUAUGUUCACAUUCCCAUUGAAGUUUUUCAUUAUCUUCCUUGUUUAAGGUAUUGGUUCCCAUCGAAAUGUAGCACAUGUUUAUAGAUUGGCUGAUCUGUGUGGUUGCAGUUCUAUUCAUAAUUGUUAUAGUUACAUUAACGUUUAAGGUCGCUUGAGUUCUGGUUACAAAAAUAGAAUGACAGAGAAAAGGUUCAUCAGACGAAACCGACACGAUGGAAUCAGUUGAACUUAUUCAAGUAUCUGGAACUGGAGUUCACAAUAAUAAAGCACUACAAGUUGAAGCGCCCAGGAUUACUGUCAAGCACGCACAAGAAGAUUUCUACCGAUACUGUCAGGGAUUCUCACUUGUUCUCAUUUUACUUCAACAUAGGUAAUUGAAAUUCGGACAUCAAUUAUGAGAGUCAAAGCAUCUCUAAUAGGGUCAUAUUUGUUUUUGAUAAAAACUUGCAUAUUAUAACUUUGUCUACUUUUUUUCAAAGUGUCUACGUGGAUCCUCAAGAAAAUCUCAGGUGAGAAUUCAGGAAAAAUAUAUAUCCAACGUUAUUGUUAGAGUCCCACAUCGGAAAGAAAUAAAAUCCUUGGGCAAUAUAUAUAGUAUGAGGCAAACCUCCUCCCUUGAGCUAGCUUUUGGGUGUUGAGUUAGGCCCAUUACUAAUAUGGUAUCAGGGCCAAGGUUCAACUUUCUUGAAAGUGGGCUACCAUCCGUGGAUGUCCAGUCCCACAAACUUCACGCUUCAGAUGUCCAGUCCUGAGCGUGAGGGGGGUGUGUUAGAGUCCCACAUCGGAAAGAAAUAAAAUCCUUGGGCAAUAUAUAUAGUAUGAGGCAAACCUCCUCCCUUGAGCUAGCUUUUGGGUGUUGAGUUAGGCCCAUUACUAAUAGUUACCAAGAUGUGUGCAUGUUUUAACAUUAUCCUUCAUGUUUUGCCUUGGAGAAUAGCAAGGUCGCCCAAUAAAUAUCCUUUUAUACCGUAUGGUUUAUGAUUAUAUCAAAUGUUCUUCUUUCUUUGUCUCGUUUUCUUUGUUGCUUUUAUGGGCUUUUCUAUUCUCACUAUCAACUAAUUCUCUUCCUUUCAAGCUUAUAAUGAUCUGUUAUUCUUCUGGAGUGUACUCAUAUGGAAUUUACGAACACCUUAAGGAUUGGCUUAUUUGAACUUGGAGAAACAAGAAUCACGUUCAAGCUCAGAAAAGAUAAGUAGUAUCGUCACUAUCAAAGAAGAAAACAGAACUUGGUAUUAAAUGGAAGAAUCGUACUGCAGAUUAAAGAAGCUUACCUCUAGGUUGUUGUACAGAAGAACCGCUAGCGGAAAACCCUGAAACUAAUGGAAGAUAAGCAAAAGCAGAAAACUGCAACAGAGCAGUACUUUGUGCAGGAAGAAGCUAAGGAUCCCUUAAGCCUAAGAAGCCCAUAUCUAAUCCUACCUAAUCUAUUUAAACGAGUGGUGAGCAUCUUUACGACAAAGAGAAGGAACUCGAGACGCUUAAGGUGGAGUACAAAAAACUGCAAAAGAUGAAGCUAUAAUUUGACACGAGACUUGGUAAUAUUACUGUGGCGGAUCACCUCCUUGUUAUUCCCAAGGAGAGGUUUGAGAAACUAGAAGGAUUCGUAAUGGAUAUUUACAAUCAGUUAGGUGUGACCAAGGAAAAAGACUGUGGAUGCUUGAUGAUCCUGAUACAAAUAUGACAUUGUGACAUUUUUAAGUUCAAUAGCCCUCAGAUCUACUCACAACUUAACUAGCUUACAUGUAGUAUGUUGUUAAUAUUCCUUUGAUAAGCUAGUUAGAAAUUACUAGAUUUUAACCCGCGGUGUACCGCGGGGUGAUUUAAUUUUAAAGUUAGUAUAAAAAUAUUUUGUAAA
Molecule: long non-coding RNA, 10080 nt
Organism: Arabidopsis lyrata subsp. lyrata
Lineage: Eukaryota; Viridiplantae; Streptophyta; Magnoliopsida; Brassicales; Brassicaceae
Exons: 33
Source: RefSeq, a predicted model, not a curated record